GAUUGUGAACGUGAAAUAUUACAAAUCCCAAAAGAACAUCUGUAGGGUAGUUCAUCAAACCCUGCUCAGGUUUAUUUCCGGGUUUAACCUGGGAGUUUGGCUCAGUUAAACUGGGAUUUAACUGGAACAGCCGUUUCAUCAAAGAGAAAACACCUUAGUUGCCAUGGAAACACCGUCUGGUGCAAACCUGCUCCCGACCAAGUUUAAGCAGCAGGCUUGGUUCACCUGAUGUCAUGUCAUGGUGCUUUACAACACACAAAGAUCUACGAAUGGAAAAACAAAAACAGAUGAUGUCACAUCCUGUUGGUCUCAGCAUUGGUUUCUAUUGGCUGUUUAUUCCAUAGACAGUAUUAAAAUGUCUAUGGUUUAUUCAGAGUAAAAGCUGCAGCGUAUGCGUCCUCGUGUCUCUGUUCAUGAACUAAGAUCAUCUACCUCACGGUCACUUCAGUUUAACAGUGUCAGCUGUUUUUGCUGAGCCCAUGAGUUUCAAGCUGAGAAGAGUUUGAUGAAAUGGGAAAAGCCAGCGUCGUCACCCCGUAGGCCUGGUUCUUAUAAGCAUACACUGAAGAAAUAUCCCCCUGGACACACCAUUUAGUAAACAAUGGGGAAAUCUGUCUUAAAUGAUCAGUGAUAUCUGUGCAUUUAUACACAAGCCACUUGUAUCCACCUUAUGGAAAAGGCCUAAACAGAGCCCAACUUUAUUGCUCUAGAAAGAUCCAGAUGUAUAUUUUAACCUGUUUUAAAGUUUUUCUCCUAACCUCGUGGUUGCAGUGGAUGGGUGUGUAUACUACGCUGUCUUCAUGUUUAUCUAAAUGUAAGAUUAGGUCCUGCCUUCUGCAUUCCAACUCUUACACUUAACAUGUCAGCUGUCUGUGAAAAUGUCUCUCUGUAAUCAGUUCCUGCUUUCUUUUUUUCAUAUAUUUUAGCAACAAACCUUGCCUUUAGAUCCAGCUGUGUCUGUUUUUAGUUGAAAAGGCCAUUUAGCUUUUAAAGCGUGUUUACCAGUCACCUGGAACGUGUCAUUUUCCUCUAGUGAGCUAAUCUCCUCGUCCAUGGCCUUUUUUCUGUGCAUUGAUUUGGAUGAUAACACUGCUUACUGAUACGUUUCUGGAAUGUCCCAAACUGCUCGAUAACAGAAAUCAACACGUUUGUAACCUGUCAGUCUGAAAAUCAUGGAGAUAUGCUGGCUUUUGCUUUAUUCU
Molecule: long non-coding RNA, 1202 nt
Filed under: Gouania willdenowi (blunt-snouted clingfish)
Lineage: Eukaryota; Metazoa; Chordata; Actinopteri; Blenniiformes; Gobiesocidae
Description: lncRNA (ENSGWIG00000025622.1)
Source: RNAcentral